Molecule: ribosomal RNA, 490 nt
Filed under: uncultured bacterium
Lineage: Bacteria
Description: partial 16S ribosomal RNA
Rfam family: Bacterial small subunit ribosomal RNA
Source: RNAcentral
AUUGAACGCUGGCGGCAGGCUUAACACAUGCAAGUCGAGCGGUAGCACAAGAGAGCUUGCUCUCUGGGUGACGAGCGGCGGACGGGUGAGUAAUGUCUGGGAAACUGCCUGAUGGAGGGGGAUAACUACUGGAAACGGUAGCUAAUACCGCAUAACGUCGCAAGACCAAAGAGGGGGACCUUCGGGCCUCUUGCCAUCAGAUGUGCCCAGAUGGGAUUAGCUAGUAGGUGGGGUAAUGGCUCACCUAGGCGACGAUCCCUAGCUGGUCUGAGAGGAUGACCAGCCACACUGGAACUGAGACACGGUCCAGACUCCUACGGGAGGCAGCAGUGGAGAAUAUUGCACAAUGGGCGCAAGCCUGAUGCAGCCAUGCCGCGUGUGUGAAGAAGGCCUUCGGGUUGUAAAGCACUUUCAGCGAGGAGGAAGGUGGUGAACUUAAUACGUUCAUCAAUUGACGUUACUCGCAGAAGAAGCACCGGCUAACUCCGUG